GGCGACAUUUCCGGUACACCAAUUUUUACCGCCACCGAUUGUUAAUGUGCACCGCUUAGGUGAGAGUAAUAUGUAAGUUUGGACUAAACAAUUGGAGCUCGGGACUUGAGAGCUUAAGAUCGUCUUUUGGAAAAAGUUUAACGACUCGGGAGAGGAACUCAAUUUGAUGCUAGUGGAUGAGGAUGGUACCGUUGGGAAAGGAAUGUCGUUAUUAGUUUAGUCAUAUUUUACUCUUUCACCUUCUAAUGAGACUGGUUUUGUAUUUAAGAACAAAUGGAUGGUCUGGAUGACUUAAAUUAGCUAUGUACUAGUUAGAAAUGGGAAAUAAUGGAUGCUAGGUAUUAUUUUGAUAUUUUAUUGACUUAUUAAAUCUAUCUAUUUGGUGAUACAUAACUGUGGGGAUAUUACUGUUCUUUUAUAUUGAUGAGUGAUCCUG
Cannabis sativa is the source of this 436-nucleotide long non-coding RNA. RefSeq lists it as uncharacterized. Lineage: Eukaryota; Viridiplantae; Streptophyta; Magnoliopsida; Rosales; Cannabaceae. The transcript is spliced from 3 exons. The record is from RefSeq and is a predicted model, not a curated record.